This 2455-nucleotide unclassified non-coding RNA is filed under the name Hevea brasiliensis (rubber tree). Lineage: Eukaryota; Viridiplantae; Streptophyta; Magnoliopsida; Malpighiales; Euphorbiaceae. The record is from RNAcentral.
CUGAAAACCAAGAAAACUCUCUUUUAGAGUUAGUUUCAAAAUUGAGACCUAUUAGAAGUCAAAAACUUUAACGGCUCAAAUGUCUCUUUAGUGAUGUAUACAUCAAUUUACCUUAAAUACAUCAUCUUAUAUGGAAUAAAAGGUACAAUUUCUCAGCCCACUUCUGGAGAAAUUAUUUUACAUAAUCGGAUGGAUUUUAACCAGAUUCUCAAUAGCCAUAAAUUUCUCCUGCUUCUAUUGUUGAAGAAGGAUAUUUUUAUCACUCUUUUAUGGUAAAUGACUCUGCCUCUUCUUUCUUGGCAGCGAGCUGUGUACAUUUUCUCCAUAUCAAUUAGGGGCCUAAUUAACCAUUGCAGAGUAAGACAGCGGAGUGAUAUAUGUGCAGACUAAGGCUUUAAUCAACCACGUCACUGCUAAAGAGCUUGAACUUAUUAGCAUCAAGAACCAACUUCCUUAUAGAGGAAAAUGCUCCCAUAAUUCCUGCUCCUGUAAACACGAUUAUAAUAGAGAUGUUGAUCCAAUAGGUGAAAGAUGAUUUUGGAGGCUUGUAGGUCAUGUUAUAGAGAAGCAUUGGGAGGACAAAAUCUAGAGGGAUAAAGCCUAUAGCUCCAACAACACCAUUUAUGUCUCCAAAGAAUGGAAGCAUUGCUGCCAUAAAUCCACAGAAUAUCACGUAAAGUGUCCGAAGAAUUAGCCUAGGAAUCAGGUUCCUUUUGGAGAACAUUCCUUGUUUCACAUCAGCUGAUUUCUUUUCCAUGAUCUCAUAAGCUACUUGAGAAUAAACCUGUGUUAUAUGUUGGAGAAAGUUUUAAAAAUUAGUCAAACCAAAAGUAAGGUUCUGUUCAUCAUGCAUAAGACCAUUUUUGCAUUGACCUGUAAAGAUGUACACAGAAUCCAGUUCUCCACCAUAGAUGAAUUGAAGAGUGAAUCUGUAAAAUUACCACUUACCAGGCCAAUAGCAAAGAGCUGAAGUAGUACAAAAGCGACUCCAAGGCCAAGAACCCACGUCGGAGCCAAGGAGGGUCCCUCAUCUGGCAGUAGGCUUUUGAGUAUGUUCGAAUUAGAUUUGUUUCCGAACACCCAGUAUCCAGACACCGCAGCUGAGUAGAACGUAACCAGAAUAACACUAUAACACAUCAAAAGGCCCUUCACCAUCUUCCCAGUAGCAGGGGGAGCCAAAGUUGCCUUUGUGGAUAGCACAGAAGAAUUAAUGGUUAAAUAACACCUCACAGCAAGUAAGAUUGUGCAAGUUAAUUGAAUUAAUCAAAUUUAAAAGUGCUUUCAAAAGACGCAUGCUUUCAUUUUUUAUAGAUGGAAAAAUAAGGUUAAAAUGUUAAAACAAAUUCAAGAGACUCCAAAGCCAACGCAAAGAUGCACUAAGAUGCUAGAGUUACUUGGAUUUCAGGCAGUAUUCCAUUCCCGAAAAUAGCAGCUAUUAUGGAGAUGGAAGUGAAGGCACUGAAGACCCUUGCAGACUCAGAAGAUUCUAGCGAAUAAUCCCUUUGAGGUGCAUUUUUUGCGAGACCUGCAUGAAUACAAGCACCAACUACAAGGAAAGUGUAGCCCAAACUGAGAAGCAGUGAAGCCAUGUUGAGGUGUCUGAGGGAGUGGAAGGUUGGAAGCUGAGAGAGAACAAUCAUUACUGCUGUCACCAUUGCUAUGAACUCGUACAAUUUUAGGGAUCCAUUGGGAGAGAGGUUCGAGUACACGAUCUGAAUGCAUUCCCCUGCAAGCAAAAUUGCUCCUAUACCAACUCCAGUGUUGAUGGCUGUUUGAAUAAAUAUGACAAAAUAAAACAUCCAACCAGACCCUAAAACGUCGGCGGCUAACUCACGGAAGCGUAUAUGGCGCCGACCGGCUUUCUCACAGUGUUCGAGCACCUUGGACAUGAGAUAGUAAGAGUAGAAGGUAACGACUCCCAUCACUGUUAAGCAUAAGAAGCCCAGGCCCCACCCUAGACCUCUGAACGCGUAUGGCAAAGUCAGUAUUGUAGGCCCCACUAUCGCCGUCGUCAAAUGGAACCCCGCGUGCCACCACUCGCCUUUUGAUUCGAGGACGAAGGCUGCACCGGCAUCGACUUCGUGGCGGGAGUCAGGAAAGGGGUCAGGUUGCGGAGGAUGAGCCAUUGGAUAUGGAAGCUAAGGCCCAAGGGGGUAGGUGGAUUACCAAUAGAGCAAGAGAAGCUGGCGACAGAGAGCUGUUUGCUCUGUAUUGGAGGCGUCGAAAGAAAGCUAAAUUGUAGCAAGAAGCAUAUUUGCCGCCCUGGAUGUGAGAAUGAUGAUGUGAAUGCGAGAAUAUGUAUCUGUAAAGUUACAGUCGUUCACGAGGCAAGAUGAUGAUUUUUAUACAGGCUUAGGUGAACGAAAUACUUUGGCCAUUUUAACGUGCUCUUGUCCUAAAAUUACGUCGUUGCCCCUCCUUUUUUUUUAUGGUGUGGAUAUGAUCCAUGCGUUUG